This 253-nucleotide ribosomal RNA is filed under the name uncultured bacterium. Its description in RNAcentral is "partial 16S ribosomal RNA". It matches the Rfam family "Bacterial small subunit ribosomal RNA", at positions 524 to 776 of the family's 1533-position model. The record is from RNAcentral.
UACGUAGGCAGCAAGCGUUGUUCGGAGUUACUGGGCGUAAAGAGUGCGUAGGCGGUUUCCUAAGUUUGGUGUGAAAUCUCCCGGCUUAACUGGGAGGGUGCGCCGAAGACUGGGGAGCUAGAGGAUGGGAAAGGCAAGCGGAAUUCCUGGUGUAGCGGUGAAAUGCGUAGAUAUCAGGAGGAACACCGGUGGUGUAGACGGCUUUCUGGACCGUAACUGACGCUGAGACACGAAAGCGUGGGUAGCAAACAGG